Molecule: non-coding RNA, 1599 nt
Organism: Paramisgurnus dabryanus
Lineage: Eukaryota; Metazoa; Chordata; Actinopteri; Cypriniformes; Cobitidae
Source: RefSeq, a predicted model, not a curated record
CGUACGUCGCGGAGAUGUCUGCGCGAUGUCUUCUUUUUCGUCUGGAAGACGUAUUAUAUAGGGCGUUUGCUCAUCUGGAAGGCGUCGCCGAGACGUCCGACCCAGCUGUUUGCAAGACACCCAGCAGAUCUUUACAAGAUGUAUGUUAUUUAGAACGAUGGCGAGCCGCCGUUUCCCAGAUCUUUACAAGAUGUUAGAACAGCAAGCCGCUCUUUCACAGAUCUUUAGAAGAGCUUUAAAAGAUGCCGAGCCGCUCUUUCCCAGAUCUUUAGAAGAGCUUAAAAAGACGUUUUCAUGCCAUGAUCACUGGGGCGGAAACCAUUAUGACGUUGCCUUGGACAUCAAACUAAACCAUCUCAUUCUGGCUUUUUUCUAACAUCGAAAUCUCAGAAGGCCAGGACUAAGAUGGACGCAGCCUCCACAUGCAACCUUGCAUUUGAGGAACACCCAUAGAACGGUCAACUUACCCCAUACUCUAACCUGAAUGCAGGGAUUAUAAAACUUUAUCUUUUACCUUAAUUGUUAGAUGGGUGUUGAUACCAAACUUUUUUGUCUCGUCUACCCAGGAGAAAGUCAUGGGUUCUGCUGCUGAGGUUGUCAUAAAGCAUGCUUUUUCCAUUUGUUGCAUUGGGCAAUAUUAUCAAAAGAUUCUGAAAGAAAUAAGAUAAUUUUCAAAGCAUUAACAUGAAUAUGAAAGCAUUAAGUCAUUAAUGACCAUCUUUUAUUAUUGUUUAUUUAUAGUGUCUUUUAUUCUGCUUACCUGACUCAUGCAGAAUUCUGGCUUGAUGUUUGGUCCACCUGUUAGCUGGCUCUGGUGCUUGGUAGUCUUCUCAAACCUCUGAAUCAAGGCCACCAUGAGAGGCCUUCUGAAGACCAUCAUUACGCUUCAGAUCCAGUUGUCUUAACUAUGAGCCUACCACAAUCCCUGUGCACCAGCUAUGGAAAGUGCAGACCAAACUUCUACCUCCACCUAUAGAACUGAACUGGAGUCUGUGAACUAAUGCUGUGUUCGAGACAACUGGAACAGCAAACAAAGUUGAGUAUCCGACCUCUCAACUUGUGACUGAUCGAUCAGCACCAACCUCAACGAGAUGCAUCAUUUGACAUUGCAGACAAGAUCCUUUCUCUUUUUAAUGCAGCACUUAAGGAUGAACCACCCUGAUCUACUAAGAUGCACAGAUUCAACUCUGGCCCAGCAUCAUCCCCACACCUCAUCUGCCAUCAGUUUAAUUUAAUGUCUGUCAAUUGCAAAUGCUAUUUAUUUCAGUUAUAUUACAACUUAAUGUUAACUUUAAUUGAGACUAGUAUUGUGUAAAGCUGGGGUUUCCAAACUUUUCAUUUCAAAACCUAUUAGACAAGUGUAAUCUAUUCUAGACCCACUAAAAUAUUUUUACAUAUACAUUUUUUAAUGGGGUAAAACACAUUUGUUCUCUUUCAGUGGAGUCAUUUUAUUUUCAUAAUAUUUCAUAAUGUAAAGCAGUGGUUCUUAACGUUAUUCCUGGAGGCCCACUGCUCUGCACAUUUUGUAUGUCUCUUUUAUCUGACAGACUCAGUUCAGUUCAUUGAGAUCUCUUCUAAUGAGCUGAUGAUUUGAGUCAG